Long non-coding RNA from Folsomia candida, 2408 nucleotides. RefSeq lists it as uncharacterized. The transcript is spliced from 5 exons. Lineage: Eukaryota; Metazoa; Arthropoda; Collembola; Entomobryomorpha; Isotomidae. The record is from RefSeq and is a predicted model, not a curated record.
AUUUCCUUAGUACAUACGCAAUUUACUCAUGCACCUUCAAAAAAUUGCCAACAGGUUGUUGCUUCGCUACAAAUAUGUACAUAAUUUCUGAAAAGUUUUUAAAAUGUGACCCCCAUUGUUAAUUUCUACGUGGUAAAUAUUGCCUAGUUUAAAUACAGUGUAGCGACUGAGGCUUAAUUCGGAUCAAUACUUCGUUUUCGACGUAUACAAUUCAUACUCCUGGAAAUUGAAAUAAUUGAGAAUUGAAUAGUAUUCGUGGUAAAUUUAGAUCGCUAAAAUUUACACGGGAAUACAAGCACUUAAAUGUAUACGAGGAGUACACCUAUACUUACAAAAACAAAACAAACGCCGUUACGACGAAUUAUCGUCCUCGGAAUCGUACUUUAACUAAAGUUUAACUCCUUCAAGAAGGCGUCAUAUUUACCACCGUUGUUCAUAUUGAACUUCUAUCAGAUCUCCUUCCCUGAAAAAGGCGUUCGCCGGCAAAAACCCGACCGCCAUCUUUCCUCUUACGAUUUUUCCAGACCUUUUGGAUGCGCGUGGUUUCGUGGUAAGGGUCAGCACGGUUGCUCGGGUUUCAGGGAACACAACUUCAUCGUCCUCCACAUCGCAUGCACCUGUUGCUGCUUGUAUGACAGCUUGGACAGUCGCCGGCGGUGAGGUAGGAGUUGUUGCGCUGGCACGCUGGGCUGGGGUACUCCUGGUAGGGUUCUCGGCAGGUUUUUCAAAUAAUUCUUUAACAAGCGCGGACCUAUUGGCGGCGCUUUGCUCUUUCUUCUUGGGUUUAGCCUUUUUGCGGGGUUCGGGGCUAUUCGGUUGUGGAAUAAUGACAAGUGCAUCGUUCACGUGUCGACAGAAAUCCCAUAAAUCCUCACCAUACAACAACUUGAUGUAAGCUUUAAUUUCCAUAUCUUGUGAUUCCCAUUUCUAUUUAUGGAUGUUGAUCUCCCUGGGGUCAGAGGACACUGUAUGUCCAACGAGCGUAGAGGCGGCUUGGUCUUCACUGCUAUCGAAAAAUAUAGCGGGGUCAAGGAAUUUAUGAUUGUAGGUAUGAUGGGUUUAUUCCGGGCAUGGUUAAGCCAAUUUGUAAUUGAAACUCUGGUUCCUGUUUUCGUAAUCGACUGGAAUUUCGUAAUCGACUGGAAUUUCGUAAUCGACUGGAAUUUCGUAAUCGAAUUUAGUCUGGCCACGUGUAACGCAAAUGCACAUUCCUGGCGCUUCAAUCGGAUCCUGCUUUACAUAAGCUUGAUCAAAAAGUCCUUCGUAUUCCCCAUUAAUGGUUUCAUUGAUGGUAUGAAUGAGACUAUUUCUUUUCUUUCAAGUUAAAAAUUUAAUUUGGCUUAUAAAAUUUAUUUGUUACGUACAAAUUCUCAUACAAAAUUCUGUUGGCUUCAUUCCCCCGAAAAUAUUAAAAAUUGAGUAAUAUUUUUUUUGGAGUAUUGGCUACGAUGAUAAACUAUGUUUUCGAAGUAUAUAACGAUUUUUUUUUCAAAAUUAAAUUCAUCCUACACCCAAACACGCAUUACUUUUCAAUACCUUGUAUUGUGUACCGGCUGUCUCGUCGUUUGAAAGAGUAGCACUAUUUCUAAAUAAUCUGUCAUCAAAUUAAGACACGUAGUUUAGACAGGAUAAUUUAUUAAUUUUUCUCCGUGCCCAAACUAGCUCCAAUGUCUUGAAUAUUUCAGUGUUAAUAAUUUUCUUAAGUAAUCCAUUCGAACCAUUUCGUAUUAUUCUGUGUGCAAAUUGACUUAGAUAUCCAUUCGGUUACGUUAUAUUUGGAUUUCAAUCCUUAUGUUAACCUUUCCAUAUUUUGAAAUAGGUUUUUGCACAAAGUUGAUGGGAAUAUACUAAAUUUGCCGUGGUAUUUCAUUUACGCACGACGCGUAGAUACGUAUCAGCUCACCCACUCACUAAAAAAAUAAACACACGCCUUAAAUAUGUAUACCUCCAUGACACAUAUGUAAGUAGAAAUAUAAAUCUGAAAAUUUGUUAUGUUUAACAUUAAGAAAUUUUUAUAGAUUUACAUAAAUAUACACAGAAAUUACAUAUAUGUAAGUUAAAUACAUAUGUUUCUGUGAAUUUCGUAAACUUAAUGAGUCGAAAAAUUGCAUUUCAUCUUUGCAAUAUUGUGGUAAUUCACAUAGUCCUUAAUUACUGUAAAAUACAAAAAUUUUGUGAAAUAAUUUUGCAAACUUUCAAACGAUCUUACUAUUAGUAAGGUCACAAAAAUGUGUAAGCUAAUUUUGUUUUCAAUUUUGUGAAAGUGUGCAAUUUUACGGAUUUUGCAAUGUUACCUUGGCCUGUGUUAGUUGCCUGAUUACGUUUGAUACUACCUAGAUUAAUUAGUCUAUAAACACGGAAUAUACGUUAAUUAAUGUAUGUAAAUAAAAAAAAGUAUUAAAGAAAUA